UACGGAGGAUCCGAGCGUUAUCCGGAUUUAUUGGGUUUAAAGGGUGCGCAGGCGGGGGAUUAAGUCGGCGGUGAAAUUUUGCAGCUCAACUGUAAAAGUGCCUUCGAAACUGGUUUCCUUGAGUGUAGAUGAAGUAGGCGGAAUUUGUGGUGUAGCAGUGAAAUGCAUAGAUAUCACGAGGAACUCCGAUUGCGCAGGCAGCUUACUAAACUACUACUGACGCUCAGGCACGAAGGCGUGGGGAUCAAACAGGAUUAGAUACCCCCGUAGU
RNAcentral lists this ribosomal RNA (271 nucleotides) under uncultured prokaryote. RNAcentral's name for it is "partial 16S ribosomal RNA". It matches the Rfam family "Bacterial small subunit ribosomal RNA", at positions 524 to 794 of the family's 1533-position model. The record is from RNAcentral.